GCACUACUGCUUAACUUCUCCUAAAAGCGAGAUACCUGUUGGAGUUUAUGGAACAAUGAAUUAUGUUGGUUCUCAGUUUGUUCAGUUUCCUUCGAGCCAACACCAGUAUGCAACGUUGCUAGGAGACAAAUAAGAUGGUAUUUUCUUGCCAAAGUGCUGGUACUCUUGGUUCACUUUUUGUUUACUUUUAAAAUUGUUUUUAUUAUCAUUAUUGUUCCUAAUUUAUUCACAUACAAUAUUACCCGAAUUCAUCAUAAGUUUCAAGAUGCUAAUGGGAAUGAAAAGUCAACCAUUUCAAGAAUGUUGUUUAGGGUUCAAACAAGAUGGAGUUCAUGUUCGUGUCAAGAAACGGACCUCUGGGUGCUAUAAAGUUUAUCUACAGUAGAAGUUUAGUGUAAAAACCAGCCCAAGUUUUUCCAAUGGUACAUGCAAGCAUGUAGGAAGAAGAUGGACAAUGGAGAUGGGUUCGGCUUGCUUAUUUCAUUUCAAAUGAAAGUCGGCAGUUGGGGAAUAACCAUUUAAUAAGAGAAAACUCUUUCAACUCUCAAUUUUUGAUCUGGGAUACACAAUAAAUAGUCUCGCUUGGUUGGAAAUUGUUUGGGUCCGCAAAAGUAAGUGUACUUAAAAGAAGAUUGUUACCAACAGGGUAUUGUGUAACGAUGAGUGAUAUCUUUGAUAUAUGGAACAAGUGUUAGCCUUCGUCACA
Long non-coding RNA from Helianthus annuus (common sunflower), 706 nucleotides. RefSeq lists it as uncharacterized. The record is from RefSeq and is a predicted model, not a curated record. The transcript has 2 exons. NCBI's taxonomy places the organism in Eukaryota, Viridiplantae, Streptophyta, Magnoliopsida, Asterales, Asteraceae.